UCGCUUCUUACCCUUUGUUGACAUACCUCAACUGGUUGCUUCGGCGGGUAGGGGCCCCGCUGAAAAGGGCCGCUCCCGGCCGGCCGNCCGCGUCACGCAGGGAUGGACGGCGCCCGCCGGAGGAUAACCAAACUCUGAUUUAACGACNUUUCUUCUGAGUGAUACAAGCAAAAUAAUCAAAACUUUUAACAACGGAUCUCUUGGUUCUGGCAUCGAUGAAGAACGCAUCGAAAUGCGAUAAGUAAUGUGAAUUGCAGAAUUCAUGUGAAUCAUCGAAUCUUUGAACGCACAUUGCGCCCGCCAGCAUUCUGGCGGGCAUGCCUGUUCGAGCGUCAUUUCAACCCUCAAGCACUGCUUGGUGUUGGGGCCCUACNGUUGACCUAUGCCCUCAAAGGUAGUGGCGGACCCUCCCGGAGCCUCCUUUGCGUAUUAACUUUACGUCUCGCACUGGGAUCCGGANGGACUCUUGCCGUAAAACCCCCCAAUUUUUACAAGGUUGACCUCGGAUCAUGUACGAAUACCCGCUGAACUUAAGCAUAUCAAUAAACCGGAGGAA
This 556-nucleotide ribosomal RNA is filed under the name Colletotrichum sp. INBio 1359A. RNAcentral describes it as "eukaryotic LSU rRNA". The stretch from base 181 to 335 matches the Rfam family "5.8S ribosomal RNA". The record is from RNAcentral. Lineage: Eukaryota; Fungi; Ascomycota; Sordariomycetes; Glomerellales; Glomerellaceae.